CCGUCAUGGAGUCUACAAGGAAGAGCAAUGAUGGCGGACUCCUAUGAGGCUAGGAUAAAAAAGCAGUCAUGGCGAGAGAGUUUGUAUAUAAACCUGCAUGGUGGUGGAGUCCACGUGGAAAGCUGGUAUCUCACCCACCACAACUUAGAAGCCGAAGCCAACACACCGUCACGUACCAACCCUUUCAUCAUCAUCAUCAACGAAGCAAUUGCAACUUUGGGAGGACUUUGGGAUUGCUAUUGAGUUUAUCGAUCCUCAUAUAUGUUAAGCAUAUAUUAAGCUCUAUCUAAAUACAUAGUAUCAUCACUUUAUCUUCACAAGAGCCUGAAGGGUGUAUCAGAACAUAAGGCGAAAUUACAAAAAAAGCUCCUACAAAACAUAUUCAGAUAUACAAGGACGAGGAGAGCUUUGAGACUCACUGCAACAGUGUCGUAGAGAUAUGCGGUAGAGCCACACAGACGAUUUCAUAUCAGUUAAGAAACCUCAAGUGACUCAACAUUGACUAUUUUAUUCAAAUUCUCAACCAUCAGAACCAGUAUUAUCUAUGUCGUCUUCAGCAAAUGAAAGAGUUGAAGUUGCGAGAAUGAUAAAUAACCUGCUCAGAUUCAUACAACAGUACUGGCCCUCCAACACGGAAUUUCUGAAUUCAAUUCUUGUGCCAUUUGCAAUAUAUUUUUUAAAAAAUACCCCAUCACAGAAGAUGUGGCCCACCAGGUAAAAGCAAUGACUCUGGAAUUGUAAUUUGUUGCUAAGAGCAAGCUCUGCAAAUGCAACUUGCUCUGUAUCCUCUAGUGUCAGAAGAAUGAAGAAGAACGAGUAGCUAACAUUUUCCUUACCUAUUUGUCUCAAGAACCCUGUAAGAAAUU
RNAcentral lists this long non-coding RNA (866 nucleotides) under Vulpes vulpes (red fox). RNAcentral describes it as "lncRNA (ENSVVUG00000027142.1)". Lineage: Eukaryota; Metazoa; Chordata; Mammalia; Carnivora; Canidae. The record is from RNAcentral.